Molecule: long non-coding RNA, 1345 nt
Organism: Lepus europaeus (European hare)
Lineage: Eukaryota; Metazoa; Chordata; Mammalia; Lagomorpha; Leporidae
Exons: 3
Source: RefSeq, a predicted model, not a curated record
CGCCGGGAGGUCGGCCCGGGACGAGGCCGGGGCAGGAGCCUCCGCGGGGAGAAACCCCGCUGGAAAAUGAAGGGAAGACUUUGCCAAACCGUCCCAGACAGAGGUUGGAAAUCACUGAAGCCUUCAUACAGAUGAGUAACAUGAAGCAGAGCGGCACAUCAAGACUCUUCAAGGAGGAAUGGAUCAGAGCAAGGAGAGUCUCAGGUUCUGGGCAAACAACACAUCUUUUCAAAAUAUGAGACUCCAUAUUACACGAGAAAGAUGACCCACAGCAGAGGUGCCCUUAAGAGGACAGCUAACCUGGUUCGGAAUCGCUGCUGUCUGAAGAACUCGACUCGCUGCUGCUGCUGCUGCUGCUGCUGCUGCCAGAGCCCGAGGAGCUGCUGCUGCUGCUGCUGCUGCUGCUCUCGCUCAGUCGGGAAACACUUCCAACUACUUUUGUUGGUUGUGCUUUCUCAGCUACAAAAUUUGGGAAUAGGAGUAAAUGUUUAGUAUAGCAACCAAGCUAUCCUCACAUCCCACAUGAGGAUGCAUGCCUGGGGGUUCAAUUCCCAGUUCUUGCCCUUGAUGCCAGCUUCCUGCCAGUGCAGACCCUGCACGGCAGCACUUAUCACUCAAGUCAUGGCAUCUUCACCACUCACAUGGGAGACCAGACUGAGUUCCUGGCUGCUGGCUCCAGUCCUGCCCCAGCCUCUGCCAUUGUGGGCAUCUGGGGAGUGACCAGCAGGUGGAAUCUCCGUCUCUCUCUUUCUCCCCAUUUUCUCCCUUUUCUCAAAUAAAUAACGUUUUUAAAAUUUUGUUAUUACAAAACAAGAAAUACAUUAAAACGUCAACAACAGUCACAAGAACAACUGAAAGACAGACACCUACAUUUUAUUUGUCGUUUUCUAGAAUUUAACUGAUUGUUGACAUCCAGUAAUCGUCUUUCCAAUUCCUGUUUUUUCUGUAAUUGGAGUUCUUCUUUGGAUUUCAUUGUUUUUUUGGCUGUGUGAUUUAAGAGGAAACAACGUGAGCACUGGCAAAAAUUAACACAAACAUCAGUGUUAAUUAGUACACAGAAAUACAUACCAUGAGAUUUUAGUGGUCUUUUUCUCAGACAUGCCGCAACAUAUUUUUCCAGUUCUCUUAAUGUUGACGCUUUCAGUGUUUCAAAAUCUAUCUCUAUCUCAUCAGGAUUGGAAUCUCUCAGAGAAGGCUCUCUUGAUUGUAUUAUGUGAACUACUCGGCCAAGCUUAUCUCCAGGGAGUUUAUUUAUAUCCAAACUUAAUUGUCUUUUCUCGUCAUAGUUCAUAGGUUUGGAGUUACCUUCAUCCUCAGAUUUCACAGCAGAGACCUGUUGGUUCCU